CCUUCGGAGUAUCAUACAAACGUCAGUAGCCUGUCCUUUGGGACGGCGAGAACGGAUACGAUGAACAAGGAA
This 72-nucleotide non-coding RNA is filed under the name unclassified sequences. RNAcentral describes it as "RAGATH-18 RNA". It matches the Rfam family "RAGATH-18 RNA". Rfam says of the family: Actinobacteria, Firmicutes, Fusobacteria, Thermotogae (1 example). Nearby to self-cleaving ribozyme genes The record is from Rfam by way of RNAcentral.